Molecule: non-coding RNA, 338 nt
Organism: Podarcis lilfordi (Lilford's wall lizard)
Lineage: Eukaryota; Metazoa; Chordata; Lepidosauria; Squamata; Lacertidae
Source: the annotation of a GenBank genome assembly
AACACCUCAGCAGUGCCACAGGCUGAUAGCAUCCAUGCCACGCCGCAUUGAGGCAGUAAUUGAUGCAAAAGGGACCCAAACCAAGUACUGAGUACAUAUGCAUGCUUCUACUUCUCAGAGGUCCAAUAUUGCUCUAUUUGCAGUCCUUGUUUUGCUGAUUUCAUUUAAUAUUCUAAUUUUCUGAGAUUGUUAAUUUGGGGUUUUCAUCAGCUGUACGCCAUGAUCAUCACAAUUAUAACAAAUAAAGGCUUGACAUAUCUCGCUUUGCAUGUCAUGAGUCUAUCUCAUAUAUUAGUUUCACCUUUUAAGUUGAAUUACUGAAAUAAAUGAACUUUUCC